CAAAUUUGCUUAGCAAUACAUCUCCGUUUUGGACGGAGAAAGCUAUAAACGAUAUUUUAUCGCUUUUAAACAUUCGACCAUCGCGAAAUAUAUUUCUUGGACACUUUGUAAAGUUGUUUUGACUUUGGUAUUGCUAUCCUCGUUGCUAUCGACCUCAAAUAUAGUUUAUAGUCUGGUCAGUCUGGUGGAACUGGAACACAUCGAGCAGACGAGCACGAC
Non-coding RNA from Paramuricea clavata, 219 nucleotides. The record is from the annotation of a GenBank genome assembly. Lineage: Eukaryota; Metazoa; Cnidaria; Anthozoa; Malacalcyonacea; Plexauridae.